This 432-nucleotide ribosomal RNA is filed under the name uncultured bacterium. RNAcentral's name for it is "bacterial SSU rRNA". It matches the Rfam family "Bacterial small subunit ribosomal RNA", at positions 355 to 786 of the family's 1533-position model. The record is from RNAcentral.
UGAGGAAUAUUGGUCAAUGGGCGGGAGCCUGAACCAGCCAAGCCGCGUGAGGGAGGAAGGCCCUAUGGGUCGUAAACCUCUUUUGUCAGGGAACAAAAGCGAGUAUGUAUACUAGUCUGAGUGUACCUGAAGAAAAACGCAUCGGCUAACUCCGUGCCAGCAGCCGCGGUAAUACGGAGGAUGCGAGCGUUAUCCGGAUUUAUUGGGUUUAAAGGGUGCGUAGGCGGCGGUGCAAGUCAGCGGUAAAAGCCCGGGGCUCAACCCCGGCGAGCCGUUGAAACUGCAGUGCUAGAGAAGGCGAGAGGUACGCGGAAUGCGCAGUGUAGUGGUGAAAUGCUUAGAUAUUGCGCAGAACUCGAUUGCGAAGGCAGCGUACUGGCGCCUGACUGACGCUGAGGCACGAAAGCGUGGGGAUCGAACAGGAUUAAUACC